This is a long non-coding RNA of Homo sapiens (human), 458 nucleotides long. RefSeq lists it as uncharacterized. The transcript is spliced from 2 exons. The record is from RefSeq and is a predicted model, not a curated record. Lineage: Eukaryota; Metazoa; Chordata; Mammalia; Primates; Hominidae.
ACUAUAGUAACUCGAAGGGCAUUGGAGCAAUGAGAACGUGGGAAGAUGUUAAAUUUAGAUCAGAGGAAUCUCAUCAAACAACCAGGGAGGAUCAACCACCAGAGAAAAGAAGAGACUGGGAGUCAUCACCAUGUCCCCAACAGAAUUUUCAUCUAUCCUUCUGAGGACAGCUCCAAGUGAUUACCUAGAGGACUUUGCUUCAUAAUAAGUCAACCUUCAUUCCUGUGCAGCCCCACCUCUCACCUUCCCAAAAUGUCUGCCUCCCAUCUUCUGGGUCCAUUCAUUCUCUCAAAUGAUUUGCUGCCCCUCAAAAGAAUUUUCCACGUUCCUCAUCUCUCCCCUCCCCUGGGAAAAAGCAUAUAUAAGCUUCUAUACCACCCUGGGUUAUUGGGUAAUCAUUCUCCAGCAAUUCUCCCAUCCUGUGCACAUCAAAUAAAUUCUGUAUGCGUUUUCUUUUA